This 372-nucleotide ribosomal RNA is filed under the name uncultured bacterium. RNAcentral's name for it is "bacterial SSU rRNA". It matches the Rfam family "Bacterial small subunit ribosomal RNA", at positions 527 to 896 of the family's 1533-position model. The record is from RNAcentral.
AGAGGUGGCAAGCGUUGUUCGGAAUUACUGGGCGUAAAGGGCGCGUAGGCGGCCUUCUAAGUCGGACGUGAAAGCCCCAGGCUUAACCUGGGAACUGCGUCCGUGUACUGGGAGGCUUGGAUUCGGGAGAGGGAUGUGGAAUUCCAGGUGUAGCGGUGAAAUGCGUAGAUAUCUGGAGGAACACCGGUGGCGAAGGCGGCAUCCUGGACCGAGAUCGACGCUGAGGCGCGAAAGCUAGGGGAGCAAACGGCAUUAGAUACCCCGGUAGUCCUAGCCCUAAACGAUGAGUGCUUGGUGUGGCGGGUAUCGAUCCCUGCCGUGCCGAAGCUAACGCAUUAAGCACUCCGCCUGGGGAGUACGGUCGCAAGGCUG